GAGCCUGAGAAACGGCUACCACAUCUAAGGAAGGCAGCAGGCGCGCAAAUUACCCAAUCCUGAUACAGAGAGGUAGUGACAAGAAAUAACAAUACAGGGCAUCCAUGUUUUGUAAUUGGAAUGAAUAAAACAUAAAUUCCUUUGUGAGUAUCAAUUGGAGGGCAAGUCUGGUGCC
Molecule: ribosomal RNA, 175 nt
Filed under: Ceratium hirundinella
Lineage: Eukaryota; Dinophyceae; Gonyaulacales; Ceratiaceae
Description: partial small subunit ribosomal RNA
Rfam family: Eukaryotic small subunit ribosomal RNA
Source: RNAcentral